CUGGCCCGAUUAGAGCUGUGAAUACCGAGUUGUUCAGGGAGGAUUUUGCAGCUGACUGAUCACAGGCUGUCGGAGCAGGCCUUGGACAACAGCUGCAAGGCUUGCUGGGCUGCAGAAACAAAAGGCGCCUAGCACGGUGCAAAGAAAGAGUUGACAGGUUGUUGUUAGCAGUGGCAAAUGUGUGAGAAUCCUAGGGCAACAUGCAGGAUGGACACUUGGACCAUGACAAAUUUAAGAUCCAGCAUCUUGGAGGCUUUCCUGGCCACAAGCCAUACUUUUCUGGAAUGGAAAAAACCUUUUUAAUAAGGCAUUUUCAGUAAGAAAUUCACCAUUUAACCCUGGGGAGUGAAUUUCAUUGUGAUUAAAGCACCUGGCUUUUGGAGCAAGGGAGACAAAAAAACAGUUACUGUGCCAUGACACAAGGGUAGAACACUGCUUUAAAGGGCUGCUGACUCUGGACAAUUUACAUGCUAAUUUCAGAAAUGAUUCCUCCUACAUUAAAUAAGGAGCUGAGGAAUGUUCCAAAGGUCUAGACAGACCAUGCCAUUAACAGAUUGGGUAAAUCAACAUUAAUACUGCCCACAGCAUAUUACACCGUGUGAACUUUCUUCACUGCCCACACUUUACUAAUUUUAGUUCCACGUGGUUCCUCAGCUGACUGGCCAAAAUAUAAACUACACCAGCUCCCUAAAGCCUCCCUGUGCCCAUCUUGACCUUGGACUUGCCUUUAAUAUUAAACUUGAGAAAAAAAUCCUGAUUGGUCACACUUUUUAAUUCAGGGUAUGUUUAUAAAUGGUUUAUAAAGGGUUAAUAAUGAUUAAUAGAUUAUGAAAAUGUCAAAGAAGCAUAGACAACUAUAAACACUAAGAAGAGCUGUUUGGCACCCAAUACUAACUGAUCAGCCAUCUAGAACAUACAUUCUAGCCCAAACUCCAUCAGUGUGAAGGCCAAGUCUGGCAGAUAAUUCAAAUAUCUUCAAGCUUGUUUGAGUAUUGACAAG
Molecule: long non-coding RNA, 1000 nt
Organism: Passer montanus (Eurasian tree sparrow)
Lineage: Eukaryota; Metazoa; Chordata; Aves; Passeriformes; Passeridae
Exons: 4
Source: RefSeq, a predicted model, not a curated record